UACGUAGGGAGCGAGCGUUGUGCGGAUUCAUUGGGCGUAAAGAGCUCGUAGGCGGCUUGAUAAGUCGGAUGUGAAACCUCCAGGCUCAACCUGGAGUCGCCAUCCGAUACUGUCAUAGCUAGAGUCCGGUAGGGGCCCACGGAACUCCUGGUGUAGCGGUGAAAUGCGCAGAUAUCAGGAAGAACACCAGUGGCGAAGGCGGUGGGCUGGGCCGGUACUGACGCUGAGGUGCGAAAGCGUGGGGAGCAAACAGG
This 254-nucleotide ribosomal RNA is filed under the name uncultured bacterium. RNAcentral's name for it is "partial 16S ribosomal RNA". It matches the Rfam family "Bacterial small subunit ribosomal RNA", at positions 524 to 776 of the family's 1533-position model. The record is from RNAcentral.